RNAcentral lists this ribosomal RNA (406 nucleotides) under uncultured prokaryote. RNAcentral describes it as "partial 16S ribosomal RNA". The record is from RNAcentral.
CCCUACGGGGCGCGACAACAUCGGCUUUGCCGAUAUCGAGGAUUUCAUUCAGACCGAUGUGCCGAUCAAUCCGGGCAAUUCAGGCGGACCGCUCAUCAAUCUUGAGGGAAAGCUCGUCGGUAUAAAUACCGCGAUACGCUCCGAAUCCGGCGGGUUCCAGGGCAUCAGCUUUGCAAUCCCGUCAAACCUGGUAAAGCGGGUGUACCGCGACCUGGCCAGACAUGGAAGGGUGCGGCGGGGAUGGAUCGGGUUCCUGGUGAAGGAGAUGCGGCGGGGCAUCGGCAGGGAGGACAGCUUGUUAAAGGUGAUCUCGGUGAUAAAGAAUUCCCCGGCGGAGGCGGCAGGCCUUGCGGCAGGGGACAUCAUUAAAAAGGUUGACGGCGAAACGAUUACGACGCUGGAGAGC